Acanthosepion pharaonis is the source of this 113-nucleotide non-coding RNA. NCBI's taxonomy places the organism in Eukaryota, Metazoa, Mollusca, Cephalopoda, Sepiida, Sepiidae. The record is from the annotation of a GenBank genome assembly.
UACAGCGAUAUCGCAUUGAAACACCGGCUCUCGACGAUCACCGAAGUUAAGCAACGUCGAGCAUGGUCAGUACCUAGAUAGGUGACCGGUUGUGAAUACCAGGUGCUGCAAGC